RNAcentral lists this ribosomal RNA (342 nucleotides) under Triticum aestivum (bread wheat). Its description in RNAcentral is "partial small subunit ribosomal RNA". The record is from RNAcentral. Lineage: Eukaryota; Viridiplantae; Streptophyta; Magnoliopsida; Poales; Poaceae.
AUGUGGGAUCGAGGAGGAGCUCUGUUAUUUGGCAAUGUGGACAUUCCAGUUGCACCCUUGGAGUGUUUCCAAUCAGUCCAGUCAGAGCUCGAAUGGUUGUCUGAUCUGAAUUGCGUCAAGAUAGAAGUGAAGACAAGAGGAGUACAACCACUUGUUGAAGUGAUAGCACUAAACUCAGCACUUGGAGGAAUUGCGAAAGGGUGGCCAUGUAAUCACUCUGUGCAGCCAGCCACUGAAAAUUUUGGGGCCUCUCCUUGGCGUAUGUGUUAUGGUCCUGGAAGUUCUUUGCAAGUGAACACUACUUAUUUAGCCCAGUUUUUGUCUCCUUGGACUAACCUAUAG